GCUCGAAUCGUAUAAUGGAAGUAUGACGGAUUGCAAAUCCGCAGGUCAGGGUUCGAUUCCCUGUUCGAGCU
RNAcentral lists this transfer RNA (71 nucleotides) under Vibrio phage phi-Grn1. RNAcentral's name for it is "tRNA-Cys". It matches the Rfam family "tRNA". From Rfam's summary of the family: Transfer RNA (tRNA) molecules are approximately 80 nucleotides in length. Their secondary structure includes four short double-helical elements and three loops (D, anti-codon, and T loops). The record is from RNAcentral. RNAcentral also lists the same sequence under 1 other name. Lineage: Duplodnaviria; Heunggongvirae; Uroviricota; Caudoviricetes; Pantevenvirales; Straboviridae.